RNAcentral lists this ribosomal RNA (161 nucleotides) under Salmonella enterica subsp. enterica serovar Adelaide. RNAcentral's name for it is "partial 16S ribosomal RNA". It matches the Rfam family "Bacterial small subunit ribosomal RNA", at positions 1372 to 1533 of the family's 1533-position model. The record is from RNAcentral. Lineage: Bacteria; Pseudomonadati; Pseudomonadota; Gammaproteobacteria; Enterobacterales; Enterobacteriaceae.
UCCCGGGCCUUGUACACACCGCCCGUCACACCAUGGGAGUCUAUUGCACCAGAAGUAGGUAGCCUAACGAAAGAGGGCGCUUACCACGGUGUGGUCGAUGACUGGGGUGAAGUCGUAACAAGGUAGCCGUAGGGGAACCUGCGGCUGGAUCACCUCCUUAA